This is a long non-coding RNA of Neopelma chrysocephalum (saffron-crested tyrant-manakin), 197 nucleotides long. RefSeq lists it as uncharacterized. Lineage: Eukaryota; Metazoa; Chordata; Aves; Passeriformes; Pipridae. The transcript has 2 exons. The record is from RefSeq and is a predicted model, not a curated record.
UGCUCGCAGCUGGAGGUGGCAUUUCUCCCAGGUGUAGCAGCCCACUGGGCCCCAAGUUCAUGCUCAGGUCUUGCACAUAACAGUGAGCACACCACUGGAUGAGUGCAAUGCCUUGCUGUGAGCAGCUCCUUGUACAAUGUUCAGAUGAGUCAUUGAAACAGCCCUAAAUCCUGCCAGUGUGCAAAAGCAAAAGCAAA